GACGAACGCUGGCGGCGUGCUUAACACAUGCAAGUCGAACGGAAAGGCCCUGCUUUUGUGGGGUGCUCGAGUGGCGAACGGGUGAGUAACACGUGAGUAACCUGCCCUUGACUUUGGGAUAACUUCAGGAAACUGGGGCUAAUACCGGAUAGGAUCUCCUGCUGCAUGGUGGGGGUUGGAAAGUUUCGGCGGUUGGGGAUGGACUCGCGGCUUAUCAGCUUGUUGGUGGGGUAGUGGCUUACCAAGGCUUUGACGGGUAGCCGGCCUGAGAGGGUGACCGGCCACAUUGGGACUGAGGUACGGCCCAGACUGCUACGGGAGGCAGCAGUGGGGAAUCUUACACAGUGGGCGGAAGCCUGAUGCGGAGACGCCGCGUGCGGGAUGACGGCCUUCGGGUUGUAAACCGCUUUCGCCUGUGACGAAGCGUGAGUGACGGUAAUGAGUAAAGAAGCACCGGCUAACUACGUG
RNAcentral lists this ribosomal RNA (468 nucleotides) under uncultured bacterium. RNAcentral describes it as "partial 16S ribosomal RNA". It matches the Rfam family "Bacterial small subunit ribosomal RNA", at positions 28 to 507 of the family's 1533-position model. The record is from RNAcentral.